CCUCAGCUGAACUUCUACUGCAGUUAUUUCUACCAUUCUUUGAUGUUCUUUCUUUUAGGCUGGUGAGAAAAAGGAGCAUGAACAUAAGAAUGAACGGAAACUGGAUUAGUGAGAGAUUUCCUUUGCUAAAAUAAAGUAGCAUUAAGAACUUC
Cervus elaphus (red deer) is the source of this 152-nucleotide long non-coding RNA. RefSeq lists it as uncharacterized. The transcript has 2 exons. NCBI's taxonomy places the organism in Eukaryota, Metazoa, Chordata, Mammalia, Artiodactyla, Cervidae. The record is from RefSeq and is a predicted model, not a curated record.